Molecule: long non-coding RNA, 570 nt
Organism: Tupaia belangeri chinensis (Chinese tree shrew)
Lineage: Eukaryota; Metazoa; Chordata; Mammalia; Scandentia; Tupaiidae
Exons: 3
Source: RefSeq, a predicted model, not a curated record
CGACCGCGGUGGUCCCCGGGCGCCCAGGUCUUGUGGGCACGGCUGUGGCUGGACUCCUUUGUGGUGGUUUGAGCGGGGCGUGUGGGGGUGUUAGCUGUGGCUUUUUAACUGGAAAGCGGAAAACAACACCUGCCGGUGUAAAAGUGACCUUAUCCGAGGGGGAGGAAGGUAUUAAGGCUGAAGUGUGUAAGAGAGGGAAUAAACGAGGAUUUCCCUCUAUGCCGUCACAUUAGGAGGUCUGUUUCCAUGUCGGAAAAUCUCCCAGAAAGUGGGUGUGCGAGGAUGCAGCCACUGGCCUACGCUUGGUGUGUGCCUUGCCUAGUUUCACUUGAUACUCUUCAGGAAUUAUGUAGAAAAGAAAAGCUCACAUGUAAAUCGAUUGGAAUCACCAAAAGGAAUCUAAACAAUUAUGAGGUGGAAUACUUGUGUGACUACAAGGUAGUAAAGCCACAGUGACUCAGGAAGUAGGAUGCCGCUACAUGAUGCUUGGAGCCACAUGGAAGGCCUGGGUUUGGAUUCUGGGUCAACUUGAAUACAUCAGGUGCACCUGUGAUCCUAACUGGUUAGGGG